CGAGGUUGUUGACGAGUCCACUGUUGUUGGGUGCCUUGGGAGCUGAUGCUGCAGAUAGAAGUCAUCUGCUGUAGAAGCUCAGAUGGAGACUUUCUGUUGGAGAAUUCCGGCAGGAGUUCGAUUGCUAGAGAAGUCCGUCUGAAAUUUGCCUGAUGUAGAAGCUCGUUUGAAGACUAUCCAUUGGAGAGGUCCGAUUUCAUGAGAAAUCCAGCAGGAGGUCGACCGAUAGUGG
RNAcentral lists this long non-coding RNA (232 nucleotides) under Elaeis guineensis (African oil palm). RNAcentral describes it as "long non-coding RNA (EGUI_LNC048774)". Lineage: Eukaryota; Viridiplantae; Streptophyta; Magnoliopsida; Arecales; Arecaceae. The record is from RNAcentral.